This 7649-nucleotide long non-coding RNA is filed under the name Homo sapiens (human). Its description in RNAcentral is "HSALNT0015183". The record is from RNAcentral. Lineage: Eukaryota; Metazoa; Chordata; Mammalia; Primates; Hominidae.
GGCCUGAUAUUCGGUGGAGAGCCGCAGCUGCCCGCCGCGGGGCCCCAGGCGCAGCACGCUCUCGCGCGUGGGCCGCAGCUGGCAGCACAGGAAGUCCAGGUGGAAGAGCGGCGGCGUGGGCGGCCCGGCGCGGCGCGGCGAGUGCGGGCUGGUAUCGGCCGAGCUCGCUUUUUCUGGGGACAGAGAGUGAGGCCUGGACACCCGGCGCCGGCCCAGGCCUGGCCGCGGGGAGCCGAAGGGCGACGAGUCCGGCGACGAGGCCGUGUCGCUGUCGGGGGCCCGGCAGAGGCGCAGGUCCGGGGCGGAGACGUGCAGCCGGGACUGCGCCGCGGGGAGUCCCCCGGCCGGGGCAGGUGGCGGCCCGUGGAACAGGGAUUCCCGCCGGCGCGUGUGCGGGCUCUCGGGCAGGAAGGCCCAGCCUUCGCGGCCCGCCAGGGCCGAGAGGGUCCAAAUCCCGUCUCAGAUGGGAGUGCUCGGCGGAGCGGGGCUGGGCGAGGAGCGCAGAGGAGUCAGAGAGUCUUGCUCUGUCGCCCAGACUGGAGUGCAGUGGUAUGAUCUCGGCUCACUGCAACCUCCGCCUCUCAGGUUCAAGCGAUUCUCCCACCGUAGCCUCCUGAGUCGAUGGGAUUACAGGUGUGUGCCACCACACCCAGCUAAUUUUUGUAUUUUUUGGUAGAGAUGGAGGUUUCACUAUGUUGGCCAGGCUAGUCUCUAACUCCUGACCUCAAAUGAUCCACCCACCUCAGCCUCCCAAAGUGCUGGGAUUACAGGCAUAAGCCACCGUGCCUGGCCCCCCAUUUUACUUUCUUCUUUAACAUAUAGUUAGAAUGAAAACAUGUUGAAGGGAUGAUGGCAUUAGAAAAUUACCACUGGCCACUAUCACAGUAAUAAUUGCUUUAGGCAAGAAUGAUCGAUAAAAGCUAAAAUUAAUGGGCAAAAGUAUGAUGAGAAACAGGAUAUUUAUACAAUCGCAAAGUGCCUCCCAAUAAGAUACUUAUUAAAAAGGUAAAAAUGGUAAUUUUCAGUGGAGAAAUAUGGCAGACACCAUAGUAACCAACUGAUCAAAGGGAACAUUGGCAUUAAUGGGACAAAUCAGCAUCACGUUUCUCUUGUCAUGAAGCACUGAGAAGGCCACAGCAUUGCUUCUGAAAUAUUGCAACAAAAAUGAAUAACUUGAAUCUAAUGAUGAGGAAACAUUGGAGAAAUCCAAACCUUGGAACACGCUACAAAACAACUAACUCGUACUCUGAGAAACAUAUCAGUGGACUGGAUUCCAAACAGUGGCUCAUGCCUGUAAUUUUAACACUUUGGGAGGCCAAGUUUGGUGGGGCUUUGUGUCUGAAUUCUGGCCAAUGGAACCACGUGGAGGCCUGGCCCAGAACAUCUCCCUGUGGAUUCUCUCAUCUGGCAACUGGAUGCCUACACGAAGGGUGAUUUUGGAGUCAUGUGUUGGAGAUCACAAAGCUUUUGUCAGCCAGGUUCCUGAAUGACUGCUAGACACCAUGGGCUGAACUUUAUGAGCUCCAGCACCACCUCCAGCCUUCAGUGACUGUCUGGAGCAGGCAUCCGGAUGGAAGAGAAGGGGGACAACCAUGAACUUGGUGACCCACGGUCAGCCUGAUUUCCCUUGUGGACACAUUUAUGCCCAGUGUGCAUUCCUCCUGAGGUCUGUUCCAAGUCUGGAGGCAGCAGAGUAGAGUGGAGAGAACAGUGGACUUGGAAUCUCACCUCCCAGAUUAGAGUCCUGGAUCUGACUUUGAUUGCUGGUGCUGCCUCGGGCAAGUUACUUUAGCUGUGUGCAUCUCCAUUUCCCCAUGGAUAGAACAUGGGUUUUGGGUAGAAGUGUCUGAUAGCUGUACUGUGCUUUACGGUUCAUGAGCACGCACACAUAGGCCCAUAAUAUCAUAUCUCUGGUCACCCUGGCAGGUAGAUAUUAUUGCCCCAGGUUUCAGGUAAGAAGACUAAAGACCAGGGGUCAAUUGCUUGCUCAGAGUCCCACAGCCAGCAGCAGCCAGGCAGGACACCAAGUCAGAGUCUAGAUUCCGGAUCUUGCCCUCUUCCAAGUGUACCACAUUCUUCUCAAAGUGGCCUCUCAGGUCUUUUGUCCAGAAAAUUUUGAGACUUUGAUGAGAAGCCCAUAUCUGCACACUGGGGAUUAGGCCAGAUAACCCUGUGUGUCCUUCCAGGCCUGGUAUUGUGAGGCUGAAGCCUAGUGCCCCACACUCCCUUCCUCACCCCUUAGAGAAAGAUAGAGACUCCAGGGCCAGCCUGGUGGGUGCUGAACCUGCCCUGCUGAGCCAAGCCCAGGAGGCAGCCAAGGUCCUACCAGUGACCUUACCCUGGGGGCCCCUCCAGGUAGGAGCCUGGUUGGAAAAGACAGACCGACUUCUUCUGGGUUGGCUGGAAAAAGAUGACAUACUCAAAGCCUUGUCCUUCCACUUGGAUGCACCUGGUGAAGAUGCGACAGUCACCUUUGUCUGGGGAGAGAUAGGCAGUGUUGCAGCCGGAGAAGGGAGGGUAUGGUCAGGAUGCAGCACCAUUUGGUUGAGUCUUGCCUCUGGUACAAGAUUAAGGAGAGAAAACCAGAGGACACCAGGUCCACCCCCAGGGAGCCUUCCCUCUGGGAGCAGAGGCACAGUUGCUGUCCUCACAGAGCCUUUCUGUCUAGGGCAGAAACAUGCAGGAAGUGCCCUGGCUGAGAAUGGAGAUAGGAUCAGGGCCAGGGCAAGACUUUAAGAGACCAUAAGCAUUGAAAAUUGAAAAUGUAAUUACUCAUGUAACUCACAUAUAAUUCAAAAGAAUAAUAGUAAACAGUAAAAUAAGAGCAGAAAAGUCCAUCAAAGUUCUGAUUUUUUUUUUCCAAGACAGCUACCACUACUACAUCCUUUUUUGGAAGUAUCAAAUUCUUUGAAAAAAAAUUAUGUUGGUAUUCCUGCUUUGUUUGUGCCAUAAACCCAAGGGUAGUCUGUCCCCUGUACCACUCCUUCAUCACUAGGCAGGAAGACAACAUAUAUGAGUGAGAGAGACAGGGAGAUACACAUGCGUGCACACACGAGUGCACACACACACACAAGAAGGUGGAAGCUCUAUCAUUAGGAUCCAUUAGGAUCAUUAGGUGUUUCAGGAGUGCUGCUCCAGACCCCGCACAGCAGGGAUGAUGUGCAGGGCCUCAGUGGAAGGGGUGUGGGGUCCAAGGGCUUUCAUGGGGUUGGGGCGGAAGGCUUGGGAUGAGGCUUGAUAGUUAGGGAGGGGCAGUCAGUGAGAAGUCGGGGCAGGAGCUGGGCUGGCUGUCCUCCAGUGGGGACAUGCUUGGCUGGGAGCGAAGGUGGGCCCACCAGGGUGUGCUGCUUCAGAUGGGAGGAGGGGAGCUGGAGACCUGAGAGGACACCCGCCGCCUGUUGCCUGGGGCUGCAGCAUCAGGGGUGGAGUUGGACAGCAGGAAGAACUCGCUGAGAACUGGAAGGCGGUCUGUGAAGUUGCUUCUCAGUCUUAGAACACAGGGAAGGGCGGCUGGGGUGUGUGUACUCAUGGUCCUGUCCUUACCUGAGGAAACUGCCAGUCCAGAUGGGAGCUUGAGUCCCCGGAUGUGGUCUCUGUUGGACUUGAAGGAGGGCAGCUUGAUCCAGCCGCUAGACUUAGUCUUCUCCAGAAAUUCUUGGUACAGGCUCAGCAUGUCCGAACACCAGCUGGCAUUGGGAAGAGCAUAAUCCUUCAAGUCUGUCUUCUCUGGCAAGAAUCUUGAGAACUGGGCAGGAAAAAUCAGAAUGACUAGACAGCAUCCUGGAGGGGGGCUGCUGCCUGGGCUCGGGACCUCUAAACAGCUGUUCCUGGGUGCUGGGGCUUCUCAAUCCCUUCUGCCAGAGUAUCGAUCCAAGGGAAAGGGCCCAUAUUCCUUGCAGGGGGGCUGCGGACCCCUAUGGGUGACGGGGCAUAAGGAUGCUAAAGAGCAAGGGAAGGGCGGGCAGGGAGUGGGGCCAGAGAUGAUGGGCAUGCUGCUCGAUGUGGUGCCUUACCCUUGUUCUGCUUAAAACAUGUGAGCAGUUCUUUAAAGUUGACAACUGCUCAUAUUAGCCUCACUGUACAGAUGGGGAAACUGAGGGAAUACGGCCAAGGUUGCCAAGCAUGUGACUGUGAGAGCUGGUGGUCGCACUAGAUGCUGUCUCCUCUGCAGGGCAGGGUCACAGUUGUUGAGGACCAUUCUAGCAACCCCCACCUCAGGGGCUACUCCAGCUCUGCCCACUGCUGUGGGCCUGCCUGGGCAGGGUGGCUCCUUUGAAACACAUUUGGGCCCCCACAGAGGUGUGGUGCCAUGGCUGGGGCACAGACUAUGUGCCCAUCUGUGUGACGUAAGGAAGUCCUCUGUAGCGUCACCUGCUCAUACACCAGUCACAACUGUAGACAGCAUGUGAGCUGCUUGCCAAUGCCACAGAUGGGGUCCUCUGUCUGGGGAUACCCCAGCUUUGCUGCAGUAGUCUGAGUCCCACAGGAGGAAAGUCAUUUGUUGGUGGCCACACAAGACACAGAGCCAGAUGCAGGUCUCCUGGUAGUUUUAGUUUUGAAUGGGGGCAACUUGGUAUCCCAGAGCACUUUCUCUUUGCCAAAUCAAAUAGCUCCUCCGAACACUGCCCACCUGCCCUGGCCAUGGGCUGGGAAGAGGAGAUUUGGGGUGCUCCUUAAGCCCUAGGCUCCUGGGAAAACACUGCCCAUCUGGCUGAGCUGGGAACUCACCAUGGAGUCUGUGGAGGAUCCAAAUGCUGAGGCAGGGUUGAGUCUGGGCAGGAUACGGGGGGCCUCAAGAAGGCCUCUGUGGUGGCCAAGUCUUGCUGCCACCUGGAAGCAUCUCCUUAUCAUGGCCAAGUGCAAGGAUCCAGCCCUGCUUGGAUGGAGGGUCUUGGCUGACUCCCAAGGAGUGCUUUCAGCUGCACUUGGGGCCGCUUCUCUCCCUUCUGUUGCAGGCUUUCUUUCAGAGAGCUAGGCGAGGCUGGGCUGGUGUGCUGCAACACCCACAGAUGCUCGGCGCCUUUAGCUGGUCUAGGAGCCCCACCCAGUGCUUGGGGAGGGACAGAUGCUGCUUGGGCAUGAAAAGGCAGCAGGACUGGCUUGAGUUGCAAAAGGAGUAAACAAGUACAUAAACAAAUAGUAUGGGGUAUAUAGAGCCUUGGAGAGCUGCCUGGGGGUUCUGAGGGAGAAUCCAAGAAUAUUUCCAGAAGGAUAAGGGAAGCCUGUCCCUUGAUUGGAGGGUGCUGGUGGAGUGUUCUUGGUAUGUGCUCUGCAGUGUAUACCGGACUCUGAAAACUCUGGUAUGAUUUUGUGACUCAGAAAACCAACUCACAGGCCGGGUGCGGUGGCUCACGCCUGUAAUCCCAGCACUUUGGGAGGCCGAGGCGGCGGAUUACGAGGUUAGGAGAUCGAGACCAUCCUGGCUAACACGGUGAAACCCCGUCUCUACUAAAAAAAAUACAAAAAAUUAGCCGGGCGUGGUGGCGGGUGCCGGUAGUCCCAGCUACGCAGGGGGCUGAGGCAGGAGAAUGGCGUGAACCUGGGAGGUGGAGCUUGCAGUGAGCUGAGAUCUAGCCACCGCACUCCAGCCUGGGCGACUGAGCGAGACUCCGUCUCAAAAAAAUAAAAAUAAAAAAAUAAAAAAAAAGAAAACCAACUCACAGCCUUAGACACCUCUUUUUUUUUUUUUUUUUUUUUUUUGGUGAGACGGAGUUUCAAUCUUGUCGCCCAGGCUGGUGUGCAAUGGCGUGAUCUCGGCUCACUGCAACCUCCGCCUCCUGGGUUCAAGUGAUUCUCCUGCCUCAGCCUCCUGAGUAGCUGGGAUUACAGACACACACCACCACACCCAGCUAAAUUUUGUAUAUUUUUUUUAGUAGAGAUGGGGUUUUGCCAUGUUAGCCAGGCUGGUCUUGAACUCCUGACCUCAGGUGACCUCCCAAAGUGCUGGGAUUACAGGCGUGAGCCACCGCACCCGGCCAACACCUCUUCUUAUAUCCCGGACAAGGGUUAGCACAGGAGAGUUUCACCUGCUGGUCUCUGGCUGGGGAUAGGAGUUGGAGGUGGGGGAGGGCUUGACAGGGAGGGCAGAAAAUAAUUUGGGAGGAAACAGCUUGGCAGGGAUACUCUCAUGUUUUGGGAACCCCGUGCCCAGGGAGUGGCUCAUGUCAGCAGGCAGUGCUGGGAGUGAGGUGGGCGCGGCAGUGAGGCUUUGUUGAGUGGGAAGGGACACUCAGCCAACAUCUGCAAGGCAGUGGGAUUUGGUGGUGGUGUGUCUUCUAUUGAAUUUAAACUGCCAAUUUUCAAUUAAAAGUCUCAGUUUUAAAUUGACUAAAAUAAAAGCAUGUUCUAAAGAUCAGUCCUCGCGCAGUGGCUCAAGGCUGUAAUCUCAGCAUUUUGGGAGGCCGAGUGAGACCUUGUCUUAAAAAAAAAAAAAUCAGAACUGUGCAAAGGUGGAAUCAUAACAGUGAUGAUGACGAUAAUAAUAGUUGUGAUGAUUAUGACAUUUUGGCAGGUUCCAAAAGAUGAAACUGAUUUAAUGCGGAAAUUUAAAAGAUUUGGUUCACCCUCUGUAUUUGGUUGCCCUAGAAGAAGACUAGAAUAUAAAUAUUUCCCCUCACCUCCUGCAAAGGUUUGAAUUAAACUUCCUCAAGGACUGGGGGAACCAUUUUUUUUUGUUGUUGUUAUUUUGUCAGAGUCUCACUCUUAUUGCCCAGGAGUGCAGUGGCACCAUCUCGGCUCACUGCAACCUCUGCCUCCCAGGCUCAAGCAAUUCUCCUGCCUCAGCCUCCCAAGUAGCUGGGAUUACAGGCGCUUGCUACUACGCCCGGCUAGUUUUUAUAUUUUUAGUAGAGACGGGGUUUCAUCAUGUUGGCCAGGCUGGUCUCAAACUCCUGGCCUUGGCUGAUCUGCCUGCCUCAGCGUCCCAAAGUGCUGGGAUUACAGGCAUGAGGCACCACGCCCAGCUGGAAGUUUUUUUGGUUGAUUCAGCCUCUGGGUCUAAGCAAAGAUAUUUGAGUUGGUUGCCAUCCCCAGAUAAGUGAGAAUAUCUGGCAGCACUCAUUUUCAGCCCUGGGCCGCAGCCGUUGCUGUGAGGCAGAAAUUAAAAAAAGAUAGUAAGUACUACAUUCAUUCACUCCAAGAAAAGUAACAGACAAGGCUAUAAGAAGGUCAUAGUGACCUAGUCUGAGAAGUAAAAGCCAAGGCCCAGAAUGUGGCAAGGCAAAGGUUAAAAAGAAAGGAAGAGCAAGUUUUUCUCUGCCUAGCAAGCUCACUUCAAAGACAAUUAUAAGAUAAUGCUCUUCGAGAAGUCGAAACCAAAGGAAUAGGCUCCAGACAUCCCCCGUCUGGAGCAAGGGUGAAGGAAAAAAAAAAAAGGACAAAUGUCUGUCUGUAUUUAGCCAGUUCUUGUUUUUUCUUUCCACGCAGCUACAAGGCCACCAGCUAUGCAAAGCCACAAGUUAUGCCAAGUCAUCAGUUAUGCUAUAGAUUAUGUGACCUGUCAUUAUAUGAUUAACUGCCUGUUUUGCUUCUGUAAGCCUGCUUAUAAAAAUCCUGCUCAGUCUUUGUUCAAUGCUCAGCUUUUUGGAUGUGAAUCCACUGAGCCAAUGCCUACCUUAAAAUAAACAUCGUCCUGUUUUUCCAUAUCUGUC